AGCUUUGCAAGUGGCAGUUUCACCACCAGUGAGGUUUAUCAGAGGCAUAAUUAUUACAAGUUAACUUGCCUCAA
RNAcentral lists this small nuclear RNA (74 nucleotides) under Cervus elaphus hippelaphus. Lineage: Eukaryota; Metazoa; Chordata; Mammalia; Artiodactyla; Cervidae. The record is from RNAcentral.